This 5112-nucleotide long non-coding RNA is filed under the name Canis lupus familiaris (dog). RNAcentral's name for it is "lncRNA (ENSCAFG00000056545.1)". The record is from RNAcentral. Lineage: Eukaryota; Metazoa; Chordata; Mammalia; Carnivora; Canidae.
CUUUUCUUUUUCUUUUUCUUUUUCUUUUUCUUUUUCUUUUUCUUCUUUUUCUUUUUUAUUUUAUUUUAUUUUUUUUUUUAGAAUUUGCUUUUCUGACAAGGUUUCACAUGAGCCUGGUGCUCUGGUCUGUAGACCUCGUUUAAGUAGCAAUGACAUUAAGAUAUUGUUUUCCAUGAAGAAUUACUGGAUUUUUCAUAACAAAACAGAAUAUGCUAACUUAUUAUAGACCUGAACAAAAUGAACUUAAGUGUAGUGAGGUAACUUGCUUAAGGACAUCCUGGUUUGUAGCACUGCUAGAAUUAAACACUGAAUUCUGUUGAUUCUACCAAUUCAGGGACUUACAUAUUUAUUAUGUUGAUUCCUUGCUCUUUUGUUCACUUGAGUAAAAAUGACUGCAUACAUCGCCUUAAUUCACUACCACUGUCCUGUUUUCAACUCAAGCACGUACUUUAAACACAAACAUACACACAAAAAGGCAGAUUUAUUUAUUUAUCAGCCAAAAUUUUAAAAGCAAAGCCCAGGAUGCAGAUAGAUUGUUGAUUGAUACUAAAAUUCUGACAACUGGAAGUAUCUAUUCAGAAGCCAGAUGAGUAACUAAGGGCUAAAGGGAACCCAUGAGAAUAAAACUCAGGUUUAUUAAGAACCGUUACAGUGAGUGGGCUGUGUCCUUCCUCAAUGCAAAAAUAGUUUAUAAUUUCAGUUAUAUGGUCUUGUAAUGUGUAGGUUAGCUUUGAAUAACAACUUUAAAUAGCCAUCAUCUUCUUAAUCCUUUAUGUAUCCAGUAUCCUGCUUUAACAUCUGUAAAUUUAAAAUACUGUUAUACUGAAAGAAUAUAGACUUUUUCAUGUUUUACUUAUGGCUUUUUAAAAUAACUCCAACUACUGUCUUUUAUGUAAUAAAAUGCAUGAUUUCUACACAUACCAUUUGAUCUAUGGACCUACUCUGUAACACGAUCACUUUUUGGGAAUGUCUGUUUAUACCCUAUGCAACAUUCUUAUUUAGUACGGAUGAAGGAAAGUCUGCUGUGGCAAAAUAAUUUCUUUGGGUUUCCAGUAAUUUUAUCUUUAGGAUACUUGUCAAAAAGAAUACAAUAUUUUUAUCUAUUGAAGAUGGAUGUCAUAGUUCACUUAAUAAUCUCAGGAACAUUAUGUCUUUUUAGCUCUAUGACCUUGAGCAAGCCUACCAUUUGAGCCUUUGUCUUUGUACUUAAGAGAUGGAGAUGGUAACAUCUAGCUUACAGGGUAAUGUGGAUGAAAUCACAGCAUAUUUAAAAGUUUGUAACCAGUGCUUAGCAUAUUAAGCACUCAACAAAUAUUCUUUUCUUCUCAUUCCCUGAAGCAUUUAAUAUCUCUAGGAACAAGCUAUCGCAGAAUAAUUCUCUUUAUUUACUUCUGGCACCUAGAAUGCUCUUGGGUAACUGAAGUAAGUUUUAAUUGUAACCAAACUGAACAAUUAAUAAUGUAAUAGGAAAAAUAAACAUGCCUUCUAGAACCAGUUAAAAAUGAUUUUCAGUGAUAUGCUGUUUCAGAUUCCCCACACCACUGCUUCCCCUAUUAGCAGGUAUGAGUGAGAGCUAAUGGUAAAUAAUGGUAACACAAAUCAGAACUAAAGUGCAUAGUCAUUUUUCAUCAAGCAGCUAUCAUGCUCUAAUUAGUGUCAAUUUAUUGGUUAUAUUAAUGAACUAAUGUAUUGGAGUUUUGUUUUUGUUUUGUAGAAAUCAUAUUUUUUUUUUUAUUCCAGUAUAGUUACUGGAGAGUAAGUCCCAUUUGUAAAAUACCAGAGCCUAUGAAGAAUGAAAACAUAUGGCUGGUCCAAACAUAGAUCAUAUGUGCCGAACAAUGCAUUUUUCUCUUUCUAAUUACUCAAGAUCUAAGGAGAGGUACUCCUCUCUUUCAUUUUCAGUUGGAUGUCACUGGUGGGUUUAUGAAUAUAUCAUAUUUGCAUCAACUCAUUUAAUCAUUCUGGGCUUUUUCACCCCAUCCAAGUCAAGUAAUCAUCUUCUCUGAAUAAAUUAUGGUAAAUAUUUAUUUGUAAGGUUUUAAUCAACCAACGACAGCCCUCAUAUGUAAUGAAAUUGUCACUUUAUAAGGUUUGAUGCCAAAUAUAUGUGUCAGGUCUGCACCAUUUAAUUAGCUGGACUUAGUUUACAGGUAGAGUCAACUCAGAUGUAAUAUCAGGGUUUUUUUUGUCUGGUUGGAGAGAACUACAUACAAUUGUGUAAUUGUUACAAUUUAUAAUGUACAAUGGAGUUCAUAUGUGUAGUGUACCUUGUAAUGCAUCAAAAUGUAUGACACUUCCAUGUUUGCUUAGAAUCUUCUGUCUGAGGAAUUGUAGGUACGUCUAGCAGCUUAGGUGUGACAUUUUCUGAUGGAAGCUACACAAACAUCAAUGAGUUUUAUUACUGUGACAAAUUGUGUAUAGCAAUUAUCAUUUUCUACCUUAAGGCUGAAGUGAAUCCAGACAGCAUGUACUUAAAUCAUGUACAUUUGAUUGUUCAUGUGCUCAUUCAUUGCCUUGUUAAACAGAUACUUUGAAGUUCCUCCCAUAUUUUAGGUAUUGUAUAAUAUACUGUUAAACACAUAACCUGCCUUACAGGAAUGAAUAGAGCAGAGUAAAAACCAAGUGAACAGAUAAUCUCUGUAUGUUGUGACUUAGACCUUUCCUCUGUGAUCCAAAGCACAGAGAUUAUGGAAACCUUUACAGAAUGGGUAAUGUUGCAACAGGAUGGUGAAGACCAAGUAGAAGAUUUUAAGGUACAGGGCACUUCAAACAGAAGGUCAAUAUGAACAGGACUUAAUGAUUAAUUUGUACUGCCUUGUUCUUAGGAAUAAAAUAUAUUUUACUCUUAAGUUAAAUAAUAUUUUUGGAAUCUUUACAGUUUUCUUUUUCCUUUCCUCUCCUUCUAAACAAUUCUAUUUCAUCUUUCACUGAACUGAAAGUACUGAAAAAUAUAUAUAAUUUCCCAGUAUUUUAGUCUUCUGUGUUUGCCCAAUGAAAUGUGAACACAGUCUUGCAUAAUGCUGAAAAUUGACUUAAAUUUUUUCUACAUGCUCGACAUUUACUUUUCCUGAAAGUGGAGUUCAGUUUUUUCUUCUGGAAGGCUCAGUUACCAUGUUGAUAGUUAUGAAUGUUUACUGGGGCUCUGUGGUAGGGGUUGCAUGAGGUCUUGUUGCUUUUAUUAACCAGUUUGUGAUGUUGUUAAAGAAUUGACUUUACUAUGGCUGUGGUAUAAUUCGUGUGAGACACAAUGCAUGAUGAAAUGUUAAAUCUUUGAAAAAGGAGAGAUUCUUGUUUGAACUCAAUAGCAUUUUGUGUCUUUUUUAUUGUUGUGUACCUCUAUUAAUCCCACCCACCUAGAUUUGUAACUCAAGGAGAGCAAAGAUUGUUUUGUUAUACAUAUACUGUAUCUCUGGUAUUCAAUCAGGGAUCGUUUCAUCACCCAGGAAACAUUUGGCAAUGUCUGGACAUAUUUUUAGUUAUCACAACUAGGGAGUGGAUGCUAUUAGUAUCUAAUGGCUGGAGGCCAGAGAUAUUGGCCUACAUUGUACAAGAUACCCUCUACCACAAAGAAUUAUCUAGCCCCAAAAGUCAGUUUUGUCAAGAUAGGGAAACCCUGCUCUACAUAGUAUUCUUUACUCAUUCUGUAACUUUGACGUCGUUAGCUCAUACAUUUUUGCCUCAUUAUAAAAGGGAAAUUAAUUAACUAGUGUUUAUACAAUCAUAUUUAGUAUAAGAGCUGAGUAGUUAGGAUAGAAAUAACAUGCUCCGCUAUAAAAGAAAACUAAAUCUUUACACAAUAAAAUAUUUUCACAAAAAAUAGCUGAAGCAAUAGCUUCUCAGUAUUCUGUGACUAUAGCAUUAGUGACUUCUUUGAGUAUAUUAUUAAGCACUGACCUUAUUGAUAGGAACUGGAGAUCUGUCAGCAAGCAGUAUAGUCACAGAUAGUGCUGUCAUUAUGCCUAUAAUUUUAUAGGAUCUGAGAUGUUGAAAAAUAAUUGCAUAAAUGCACAUUAAAUUUAUAAUUUAGAUAAUUGUUUUAAGAUAAGCAGACACACAGGGUGAUCUGAGAACUGUAGGAGUACCUGGGAAAAAGUCUAUUAAAAAUUCCAAUAUAAAUACAUAAAAGGAGAAAGAGGGGAUCCCUGGAUGGCUCAGUGGUUUAGUGCGUGCCUGGCCUAGGGCGUGAUCCUGGAGUCCCAGGAUCGAGUCCCACACGGGCUCCCUGCAUGGAGCCUGCUUCUCCCUUUGCCUGUGUCUCUGCCUCUCUCUCUCUCUGUCUCUCUCUCUCUCUCUGUCUCUCAUGAAUAAAGAAAUAAAAUCUUUAAAAGAAAAAAAAAAGAAGAAAGAGUAAGAGUUGACCCAGCUAAGGAUGAAUUCCAGGCAAAGUGAGGAGCAUAGUCCAGGAUGUGAAGGUAGGAAAGAAAUUGGUGCAUUCAAAAAAGAGUAAGGUGUUAAAUAUGAUUGAAUGUGGCAAUUAAGGAGAGUAGCUUAAGCAUUAGGCAAGGCCCAGAUAUACCUAGGGCCUAUAAGCAAUGUAAAAAUUUAUACCUUUAUUCUAAAAAUAAAAUUAGACCUUAGGGACUCUAAACAGGGGAGUGACUAUGGUAAGAGUCACACUUAAAGCCUAAGUAAGACAACUAUGUAUACAAUAUUCCAAGUUUGUACAUGAGCGUAUCUGUAAUACUUUAAUGGUGGAAGCGCUCUGGGUGUCUGUAUCUCAACCAACCAAGGCCUGGCUGAGUCUUUCAUAUGUAAAUUGCCCGAAUAUCUCCAUUCCACACCCCUGCCUUAAUGAACAGGUUUUUGAUCAACUUGUGAUAAGAAAUCACUUUCCUGUUACUGGAGGAAGCAAGUCAAAAUAUUUCAAAUGUCUUCUCUCUAAUAGGCAAGGGGUGAGGUUUACUUACAUUUAUGGUUAUUUACCAAAUGCUAGUAUGAGGCUAAGCAUGUCACAUCUAUCCUUCCUCUAAGGCAAAUGCCAUUUUCCUCAUCAGAAAACUGUAUCUUGGGCCAACAGGCUAGCUCAGUCAGGAGAGCAUGAGACUCUUCAUCUCAGGGUUGUAAGUUUGAGUCCCACAUUGGAUGUAGAGAUUACUUAAAAAAAUAAAACCA